AGGGUUGUAGCUCAGUGGUAGAGUGCUCACCUUGAAUGUGGAAAGCACUGGGUUCAAUCCUCAGCACCACAU
This is a non-coding RNA of Ictidomys tridecemlineatus (thirteen-lined ground squirrel), 72 nucleotides long. NCBI's taxonomy places the organism in Eukaryota, Metazoa, Chordata, Mammalia, Rodentia, Sciuridae. The record is from Rfam.